This 465-nucleotide ribosomal RNA is filed under the name uncultured bacterium. Its description in RNAcentral is "bacterial SSU rRNA". It matches the Rfam family "Bacterial small subunit ribosomal RNA", at positions 338 to 795 of the family's 1533-position model. The record is from RNAcentral.
CCUACGGGACGCAGCAGUGGGGAAUAUUGCACAAUGGGCGCAAGCCUGAUGCAGCCAUGCCGCGUGUAUGAAGAAGGCCUUCGGGUUGUAUAGUACUUUCAGCGGGGAGGAAGGCGAUAAGGUUAAUAACCUUGUCGAUUGGCGUUACCCGCAGAAGAAGCACUGGCUAACUCCGUGCCAGCAGCCGCGGUAAUACGGAGGGUGCAAGCGUUAAUCGGAAUUACUGGGCGUAAAGCGCACGCAGGCGGUCUGUCCAGUCGGAUGUGAAACCCCCGGGCUCAACCUGGGAACUGCAUUCGAAACUGGCAGGCUAGAGUCUUGUAGAGGGGGGUAGAAUUCCAGGUGUAGCGGUGAAAUGCGUAGAGAUCUGGAGGAAUACCGGUGGCGAAGGCGGCCCCCUGGACAAAGACUGACGCUCAGGUGCGAAAGCGUGGGGAGCAAACAGGAUUAGAUACCCGAGUAGUC